This 219-nucleotide unclassified non-coding RNA is filed under the name Hevea brasiliensis (rubber tree). Lineage: Eukaryota; Viridiplantae; Streptophyta; Magnoliopsida; Malpighiales; Euphorbiaceae. The record is from RNAcentral.
GAACAAUCUGCAUAUUUAUUAUUGGCCGGUGUGAUCAGGUGACCUUUGCCAUACUCAGAGACUCAGACAUUCUCCUUUGCCAUACUUUGAGCAGCCAAAAGCUCUAUUCUCUGAGUCUGAGCCUCGAGUUUGCGUGACAACUCGUUAUUUAACUAUGCUUAUGUAUUUUGUUGAAUUGCUGUGGUGAGAUUUGAUCUUAGUUGGAAACAUGAACGGUUG